GACGAGGGGUCCUAGCGUUGUUCGGAAUCACUGGGCGUAAAGCGUAUGUAGGCGGCCUUGUAAGUCAGGUGUGAAAUCCCAUGGCUUAACCAUGGAACUGCAUUUGAAACUGCAAGGCUUGAAUAUCAGAGAGGGUAGUAGAAUUCCUGGUGUAGUGGUGAAAUACGUAGAUAUCAGGAGGAACUCCGGUGGCGAAGGCGGCUACCUGGCUGAAUAUUGACGCUGAGAUACGAAAGCGUGGGGAUCAAACAGG
This 253-nucleotide ribosomal RNA is filed under the name uncultured bacterium. RNAcentral's name for it is "partial 16S ribosomal RNA". It matches the Rfam family "Bacterial small subunit ribosomal RNA", at positions 524 to 776 of the family's 1533-position model. The record is from RNAcentral.